This 523-nucleotide long non-coding RNA is filed under the name Mus spretus (western wild mouse). Its description in RNAcentral is "predicted gene 14964 (ENSMSPG00010051525.1)". Lineage: Eukaryota; Metazoa; Chordata; Mammalia; Rodentia; Muridae. The record is from RNAcentral.
CGGCCGCCGCGGCUCGAAGGCCGUGGGGACCCCAGGCCCCAGGGGAAAAGAAAGAGAAGAGAGAAGAGAGGGCGUCAGCGAGGGCCGGGGCGCGGGCGGCCGGCACAGAGAGAGAAACAACAGCCUCACACCCAAAUCGGUUUAAUUAGCUUUGGCGGAGACUACGCGGGCCGGGCCCGCCCGCCAGCCGGCCAGCGCCUGCGCUUUAAGCGGGCUGCGGCUCGGAUGCCCUGGGCACCCCACGCGCGGGCUCUGUGACUCUGGGUUUUGGUCUUUUUGUUUCGUCUUAAGAAACCAAACGGAACAGAAAGGAAAGGAAAUUGAAAAGAAACGGAAUUUUUUUUUCUACUGGUUUAAGGCUUUAAAAACAUACAACAGCAGCAUUUAAACAAACCUAACAACAAUAUCUUUUAGGGUUUUUUUUUUAUAUAUAUAUUUCUUUUUGCUUUUUUUUUUUUUUUUUGCUUUUGUUUUUAAAAAAGAAGAUAGCAUACCACGGAAUUCAGGCAACUUACAUCAACAA